AAGACUAUAGACCUGCGGAGUACCUGCGGAAGGAUCAUUACAUGGCGGAGGAGGUGGGCACCUAGUAAAAACAGAACCCUAGGUGUGUUGCCUACCACGCUUUCUACCCUUGUCUAUUUGCACCUUUUGUCGUUCCCUCGGUGGGUCUUGAACCUGCCGGCGGCAACUUUCAAAAACCUUUUGUAGUUAGUAUCUAAUUCUUCUGAUCAAAUAUUCAAUCGUUACAACUUUCAACAACGG
RNAcentral lists this unclassified non-coding RNA (240 nucleotides) under soil metagenome. RNAcentral's name for it is "partial contains 5.8S ribosomal RNA, internal transcribed spacer 2, and large subunit ribosomal RNA". The record is from RNAcentral.